UUUUUUUGGUUGAAUGUUGUUUUUCAGUUGAUCUAUGGUUUUAGGUUGUUUAUCAGUAGAGUUUUGGUUUAAUGUUUUUCAGUUGAUCUAUGGUUUUAGGUUGUUUAUCAGUAGAGUUUUGGUUUAAUGUUUUUCAGUUGAUCUAUGGUUUUAGGUUGUUUAUCAGUAGAGUUUUGGUUUAAUGUUUUUCAGUUGAUCUAUGGUUUUAGGUUUAUCAGUAGAGUUUUGGUUGUAUUUCUACUGUGUGUCACUUCCUCAUGACUGUGUGAUGGAAUCGUAGAAAUAUAAUUUCUAGGGAUUCUAAAUAUGAAUCUACUUUCUAUUUAUAUGGAUGAGAUGACCCUUUGACUGUACUUUCCUGUUCCUUAACUCUACCUUCCCGUCCCUUAGCUCUACCUUCCCGUCCCUUAGCUCUACCUUCCCGUCCCUUAGCUCUACCUUCCCGUCCCUUAGCUCUACCUUCCCGUCCCUUAGCUCUACCU
Molecule: non-coding RNA, 482 nt
Organism: Salvelinus sp. IW2-2015
Lineage: Eukaryota; Metazoa; Chordata; Actinopteri; Salmoniformes; Salmonidae
Source: RefSeq, a predicted model, not a curated record